CACUCUUUAUACAUAUAUAUAUUUAUGUAUUUAUGUUUAUGUGUGUGCGCACACACACACACACACCCAUAUCUAUUAUUUUUCUUUUUUCCCCUCCUUUUCCCAUCAAUGAAUUCCCAUACGUUCCACAGGAAGAGUGUUUUAAAACUCAGUUCCUUGCCCAGACCAGUGUCAGUUAGUACCACCCUCUUCUGGAUUCAGUUCAAAUUCCUGAAAAAACAAGGGUCAGAAAAGGAAGCCAAUGAAGGGUUCCUUUUGCCUGAGCUCUGGCCUAGAGGUGUGGUUCACUCUUAAGCAAUUUUCUUCUAAAAUUGGGGGGAAGGGGAGUAACUUGCUGCCCAUCGCCCCACCUUUAAAAAAUUGACAAGGAGCUUCUUCUGGCUAAAAUUAUCUGCAUUGAGGACAUUCCAAAAAAAACACUGGGAGCAGAAGAUAACGUUCCUCCAUGCCUACCACCACUCCACCACAUUUCUGAACUGUGACUCCUAUUCCUCUAGUCAUUUCCUUAGCAUCACCCUCCAGCACAGCUUACGGCAAUCCUCUCCCUGGCUUCUACCACACAAUGAAUAAAGCACAGGCUAGAUGGAGUCCAAGUAAUCCCACGUCUCCUCCUUGGCAAUGGUGUAGGGAGAGAAGACAGCCUACAUGUGGAUGUAUUCUAAGGGCAGAAAAGCCUCCCUCCUAUGUCUGUUUUCCCCUCCUCACACCUUUACUGGUGGAAAGAACACUGACAGCCACAACUGUACAAGAAUUCAAUCUGCUCUGCAAGGUACCCAGUUCAGAUGCUUAUCCAAGUGCUUGGUUAACGUGAUCUCCCUUCUACAGCCCAGACUGUGCUUGAAUUCUAUUACCCUGAUUUCCUCCUGGUAGUCAGGAGUAGGGGAAGCUAUAGAAAUGAUCUGGGCCGCAGCCCCUAUGGGGAGGAAUGUAGCCCAAAAGACUCUUGUUAAGAAUCAGGUUAUUUGGCAUAAAAAUUUCCAAAUACAAACAUGGGAGGUUCAAAGGACUAGGGGGCUAGGGCUAUAUCACACGAACCCACAGGAACAGAAAACUGGGAAGUCUACACAAACUAAAAUUACUAAGAAACCAUCUGUGUCUGUAAUGAUAUUAUUCAAAAUAUCACAAAGGCAAGUCUUCUCUGGUGCUGUCUCUUCCAGGAAAACAAAUGUUCCCUAGAACAACACACAUUGUACUUCACAAGUUCAAAAGGGCCGACAGGUCAAGAUUACAAGAACAGGUCAGGCUAUCAGGCAAGAACUAUGAAAUCCUGCCCUUUUUCAGAUGCCUAGAAUUUAAAAAGCAAAGAAUGGAACCAGAUUUGGAAGAAACUCAUAAAAUCUAAGUCCCCAAACAGCUCACCAGUAGUUACCAAAAUGGAAUAGAAGAUAACAGGCUAUGGGGGCGGGGGUGUACAGUUUCCAUGACAACAAGCUGGCUCGGGCAGUUUCUCCCACAAACCAGCAUUUACAAUAGAAUUCUUCCCAAGGCUGCAAAGGGCGGAGGAGAAAACACAUCUUGGUGGCUUCGCAAGAGCAUGUGCACACUGAGCAAGCCUGUAUCAAAAGAACCCUUGACAGGAGGUCCAGCAAAAGCUUCAGAGACCCCCCUUGGAGCUGGGAGGGGGGGCAGUCCCUGUUCUCUUUUUCCUUCUCCCACAGAGAAUCAGUUCUCUUUCCAAUUAAACAAAGGCUUGCAGAAUCAAGAUGUUACUACGUUUAAAACAGUAAGGGAAGACACCUGACUUUUCCUUCAAGAGGGAACCCAUGCACAAUGCCCGUCCCUUACAGGUCAGUGAGGUUAUACCAAGACAUUGUGUGGGACUAACUUCUGCAAAACCAAACGGGAAACACACCCUUGGGAAACAUUAAACUUUAUGCUAUUCUAAUCAUCCUAGGUUUAGCACGUCCAGAUGUGGCUUUGAUCUUUCAGAGCCUGCCCAUCUUUGCCAGGCUUGAAGGAUACCUUCCAGUUCUUCUUUCAGGUAACAGGAUUCUCCACUGGCCAGGAAGCAAAGAUCCCAAGGGAGGAGGUGGGAACACAGAAGCUUUUUGGUUACUUUAGAAGAUGGCCAACCAGAGUUUCAGCUCUGAAAAGUUUGGUUUAAAUGCUACCAUCCUCCAGGCCGGAAACAUUUCUCCAAGUAAGCCAAUGCCCCUCAAAGCAAGAAACUAACAGGACACUGGCGCUUGAAGGCAGAUGAUCAGGCCCAAGGAUCCCCACGGAGGGGAUGAGCCUAAAUCUGGCAUUCUGCUACUCUGGGGUGUCUCUUUUUGGACAAAAGCCACAGUUGAAAUUCAAAGAAAACAAGUAAUGGAAAAGUUAGGCUUGAGCCCUGAGAGUAAAGGACUGCUCCAGUUCACUGUGCUCACGAAUGUUUCUAACCAGGGAGCUACUGUGUCCUCAGGGACUUUAAAUUUCACCAGGGGGAGGAGGCAAGUUGGAAGGAAGGGAGCAGAGCUAUCUGCCCCAGGGUAAACAAAGGUGGAGUCUAAACGGAGGCACUCGGAGCAAAGGGCUAUUUGCCUCUCCUCUUUGAGUGUGUGCUCUAGCAUGAAGGGAAGAGAAAUGUAAUUAGCAGAAGAGCAAAUCUAAACCAAGAAAGGUGAUAACAGCCUGUUGCUCAGUCCCCCAGACCCCACAAACAGGAGUCACACAAUAGUCAAACAUUCUAACCCCCUCCAGAGACUAGGAAUUUGGGAAUAAGGCCAGAAUCAAACCUGGUCAAAGCUCACUUACUCUUUCAAUAGUAAUCCUAAAUUUUUUGGACCUGAAAAAAAAGGGGGGGAAAUACCCGGGGAGGUUAGCAGAGGCACUAAAAAACAGAUAGCUGUACACUUAAAAAAUGGUUAAAACGGUAAAAUUUACAUUACGUGGAUUUUUACCAAUACCCAACAACAAAAACAUAAGGAAAAAGACUGCAUUUAAAUAUUGUUGCCCUCUGUUUAAGUUUAGUAAGUAGUGCAAAGGAGAUUCAAAAUUGAGAGUGGAUUUGUCAAGGUGCUACAUUAUAAAAGGGAGGUCUCCAGGCCAAAAGCAGAAAAGGAUGGACACCAGAACAACUCCUAGUCUCAGCUUUGAUCUCAUCCAUCUUCCCAACAAUGGGCUGAUGUUCACACAAAGCAACCAGAAAAAUAAUUAAGUGCCAAUCGCACUGAGAGCAUGCAAUACCAUCAGGGAGCACUGAGCUCCCAGCUCCAGAGGCAGGAGGAGCCUGUAAAACCCACAUUUCAGAAUGCCCUAAGAGGAUAACAGGUAGCCCAAGAAACACCCCUACUUCCUUCACUUGAGGGGUUCAAAGUUCACCACAGCAGAGAAAGAUCAGUCUCUCUCCAGCUGGGGAGUGGAAGAUACUGGUUUCAUCAGUAUUUAACUAUCACCCUACUUCCCCAUUUGGGGACUUCCUUGCUAGACCUCAACUCUGCGAGCAAAUUUAGCAGCCUCUGAGUGAGGGAGCAGCUUAACACCUGAAAGGCACUGGCUCUUGUGUCUGGAGUCAUAGGAGUCCCAAAGCAGGGUGGGGGGAAAAUAUGAGACAAAUUUUCCUGCAAGGAAAACUGCCAAAUCCUGGGGGGUCGGUCGGGGGAAAAGGGUAUCUAUCAUCCACCCUAGAGCUAUUCCUAAACGUUGAGACUAAGACUCUGCCGCUCCAUACAUGGCUAGUUCACUCAGCCAUCUUCUGUCUUCCCCUUUAAGGGGAUCUAGGCUCCAGAACAAAGGAGAGGAAAAAAUAUCACUAGUCAUAGUCACCCAGCCAGUCCAUCACACUUGCACUGAUAAUUAAAAGUUACUGGCAUAAUAGAGAGGAAAAUCCCGAGAGAAAAGAUGACCAAGGACAACCUCCCAGUAUUUCCACACCUAUUAUAAAAAGAAAUGAGUAUUCUGACAACCUUUAAAUGUUAACGUGAGGGGCGGCUAACCCCUCCCUUUCCCCCUAAAUUAAGUCUCAGCCACUUGCAGAGGAGCAGCCAAAAAGAAAGAACGAAAAAAAAAAAAACAGGGAAAGAACAAAAAUUCCAAAAAAACCACAAGCGUUCUUUCAUUAAACCUUCAAAUUCCAGCAACAGUUACUUUCCUCUACGGCCUCAAGAUUCUCCAAAACCAAACCUCAACGAAGGGGAGCAGCUCCACCCAUCAGACUGCACCCUGGACCUUGGAAAAUCUUACGGUUUACUACAACUAGUAUCUCUUCUGAACAAAAAGGCAGUUUCAAGACUCGCCAUUCAUUCCAUCAACAUGUUAUGUUCUGACUUGAACAAAUACAUAUUUACUGAACUAAAAAAACAAAGACACUGGUGGAUAACUGGGAAAGUAUCGAGUAACAUCACUAGACGUCUCUCAGAACUCAUUACUUUGUCUCCAUCAACCAGAAACGACACAAAUCGGCACUCCCAUUCGAUCGAUUCUCCGCCACAUACACCAUUAUCAGCUCUCUUGAAAAUGUACUUGACUGGUUCAGCUUGCACUGAUCACACUUCAGCAAUAAAGACUUGAUUCUGGCAAGUUCCUGCCUUCCAGGUCACCAUGGGUAGAGCCAGGCAAGUUUUGUUGGCUCCUACAUUUGCACUAACAGAGAGUGAAGAAGUACAUUCUCUUUCUUUCUCGCUUCAUGUCGAUUGAGUGUGUGUUUAGCUGUGGCAAGGGCUCCCCCCUAAGAGAAAUGGGCCCCAGGCCGGAGGAUGAGGCGGUGCUGUGGCCUCAGCCUCCUCCAGGGAGGGCACCGCGCUUCCUCUCGGCCGACUGCUGCCUCAUUUCCUGAGCAGGAGGAGGGAGGGGCGGAAAAGCUGCUACCGAGCCAGGCCGGGGGCUUUCCGGCGGUUCCCACCCCCCAAGUCCCCACCCUUGUACGGUCAAGCCUGCACGCCCGAGCACCCAGUUCCCCUCGAUCGCUCGACGUCCAACAGAAGCUAAGCCCCACCCAUCCUCCGGACUCCAACUUCAUCUCUGACUCUGCCGGCUGAGGACCGUGCUCCGUCGCAAAAAAAGAGACCCACUUGGAGUCCCGGCUGCUCCCGCGUCUGCCCCUUCCUCACGCGCCUCGCCCUCUAGGUGCUAAGAAAAGCCUAGACUCUCUGGGCCUCAUCUUCAAAAGAGCCCCACUCUGCAGCCUCCUUCCAAAGUCCUCUAAGGAAUUACCAAGGAAGAGUAGAGUUCUGAGCCUCAGGAAUCUCAACCCUGAUGACCUAAGAACCUCUACAGCUCUCUUUGGAAGUCUGAUCAGGACUUUGGAAGCAGAAAUGAGACGGUGUCAUCUGGGUGCUGAUCAGCAGGGGGCACUAUUGCACCUCCUUUUGCCGUAGUGAAGGGGAGAAAGACCUGAUCUUAGACGUUGAGAGCACCACUGCGUUCCUCAGGCUAGUAAAUUUGAACAUAAUCUUCUCUUGAUCCAAGGGAACAGGUGGAUUGACUCCUGAUAGCCUUUAAAAGUAUGAUGGAUGGGCAGCAAGGGACCCAAUGCUAUUGCUUUCCUGGUGAUCACAAUACAACAAAAUAUUAACAGGUGUAUAUAUCCAUCCUGUCCCAUCCUUCCCAAGUCCUCUCCUUAAAAAAAGUAUGUGGAUGCUGUCCUAACCAUGGCACUCUCCUUCCCCCUUGUUUUACACUUCUUGUUUUAAUCAGCUUCUGAUUUCAUCUUGGACUGAAAGGAUCCUUAGACAUGGUUACACAAUGAUGUGAAUGUUUGUACUGCCACUAACUGUACACUUAAAAUGGUUAAAAUGGUGAAUUUUAUAUUAUGUAUUUGUAUUGUCACAAUAAGAAAAGGGGGAAAAAAGGAUCUUAGACAAACUCAGAGAUUAAAAAAAAAAAGACGUAGUUUGGACUGAACUUGUCACACCUUUGCCCUUUCCUGUUCAAGCAGUCCUAGCAAAUCUUAUGCUUUCCAGAAAGUCUUCUCAGAUAACCAGAAUUCCCUGUGUAAACAUGCAGUUAUUGACUCCCUCCUCCACCUCUUCCCCUUGUAAUUUGCUCUGUUUAUUUGUUAUUGAUCUCAAGGUCAGAAGCUGAGCUAUGACCUUCUUUCACAUUGGAAAAGCAUAUUCCCCUUAAAGAUGCAUAUAUAAUGUUACUGAUGACUCUGACCCUUGCUCUCUACUUUAACCCUUGUUGCCUCCUCCUUAAUCAGCACUUUUCCCAAUUCCUGUAAACAUCUCACUUUCCCAUAAACUCACUCCCAAACUUUUUCUGUAAAAGGCCACACGGUAAAUAUUUCUGCCUUUGCGGGUGUAGCAGCUACUCUGUUGUAGAGAGGCCUGGAGACAAUAAGUGAACCUGCAUGGCGAUGUUCCAAUAAAACUUUGUACA
This is a non-coding RNA of Manis javanica (Malayan pangolin), 6300 nucleotides long. Lineage: Eukaryota; Metazoa; Chordata; Mammalia; Pholidota; Manidae. The record is from RefSeq and is a predicted model, not a curated record.